This 553-nucleotide ribosomal RNA is filed under the name Palaemon pugio. RNAcentral's name for it is "partial 16S ribosomal RNA". It matches the Rfam family "Bacterial large subunit ribosomal RNA", at positions 1807 to 2633 of the family's 2925-position model. Lineage: Eukaryota; Metazoa; Arthropoda; Malacostraca; Decapoda; Palaemonidae. The record is from RNAcentral.
UCAAAAACAUGUCUUUAUGAGUGAAAUUUAAAGUCUCGCCUGCCCACUGAGUUUUAAAGGGCUGCGGUAAUUUGACCGUGCAAAGGUAGCAUAAUCAUUAGUCUUUUAAUUGAAGGCUGGAAUGAACGGCUGGAUGAGGGAUUAACUGUCUCAAAUACAAUUUAUAAGUUGACUUUUAAGUGAAAAGGCUUAAAUUAUUUAAAGGGACGAUAAGACCCUAUAAAACUUGACACUCCACUGUGUUUAGCUUUAAAUUUUAAUCUAAAAUUGUAAGGGUAGCUGUGUGUUUUGUUGGGGAGACAUUGAUAUAAGUAGUAACUGUCUGAUCAAAAAUUAUAAUUAUAAUUAGUAUAUGAUCCCUAUUUUAGGAUUAUAAGAAUAAGUUACUUUAGGGAUAACAGCGUAAUUUUCUCUGAGAGUUCUUAUCGAAGAGAGUAGUUGCGACCUCGAUGUUGAAUUAAAAUUUCUUUUAGGUGUAGCCGCUUAAUAAGUAGGUCUGUUCGACCUUUAAAAUUUUACAUGAUUUGAGUUCAAACCGGUGUGAGCCAGGUUG